GGCGGGGUAGCUCAGUCAGGCAGAGCAAGCGGCUCAUAAUCGCUGUGUCGCCGGUUCAAGUCCGGCCCUCGCUACUA
Molecule: transfer RNA, 77 nt
Filed under: Thermomonospora echinospora
Lineage: Bacteria; Bacillati; Actinomycetota; Actinomycetes; Streptosporangiales; Thermomonosporaceae
Also listed under: 20 other names
Description: Actinomadura echinospora tRNA_Met_CAT
Rfam family: tRNA
About the family: Transfer RNA (tRNA) molecules are approximately 80 nucleotides in length. Their secondary structure includes four short double-helical elements and three loops (D, anti-codon, and T loops).
Source: RNAcentral